Molecule: non-coding RNA, 147 nt
Organism: Karstenula rhodostoma CBS 690.94
Lineage: Eukaryota; Fungi; Ascomycota; Dothideomycetes; Pleosporales; Didymosphaeriaceae
Source: the annotation of a GenBank genome assembly
GGUGAGAUGGCCGAGUUGGUAUGUGCUACCUAGUUCCCUACAUCAUUCCUCGACUAACGACAUCAGGUUAUGGCGCCAGGUUAAGGUUUAUCUUAACAUUACUUCCUGGUCACGUAUGUGGCGUGGGUUCGAGUCCCACUCUCAUCA